GACGAACGCUGGCGGCGUGCCUAAUACAUGCAAGUUGAGCGCUGAAGGUUGGUACUUGUACCAACUGGAUGAGCAGCGAACGGGUGAGUAACGCGUGGGGAAUCUGCCUUUGAGCGGGGGACAACAUUUGGAAACGAAUGCUAAUACCGCAUAAAAACUUUAAACACAAGUUUUUAGUUUGAAAGAUGCAAUUGCAUCACCCAAAGAUGAUCCCGCGUUGUAUUAGCUAGUUGGUGAGGUAAAGGCUCACCAAGGCGAUGAUACAUAGCCGACCUGAGAGGGGGAUCAGCCACAUUGGGAAUGAGACACGGCCCAAACCCCCAGUGGAGGCAGCAGGAGGGAAACUGCGGCAAGGGCUGAAAGACUGACCGAGAGACGCCGCAAGAGUGAAGAAGGUGGUCGGAUCGUAAAACGCUGUUGGGAGAGAAGAACGUUGGUGCGAGUGGAAAGCUCACAAAGUGACGGUAACUAGGCAGAAAGCGACGGCUAACUACGUG
Molecule: ribosomal RNA, 497 nt
Filed under: uncultured bacterium
Lineage: Bacteria
Description: partial 16S ribosomal RNA
Rfam family: Bacterial small subunit ribosomal RNA
Source: RNAcentral